RNAcentral lists this unclassified non-coding RNA (512 nucleotides) under leaf metagenome. RNAcentral describes it as "partial contains internal transcribed spacer 1, 5.8S ribosomal RNA, and internal transcribed spacer 2". The stretch from base 195 to 348 matches the Rfam family "5.8S ribosomal RNA". The record is from RNAcentral.
CAGCGGAGGGAUCAUUGCUGGAACGCGCCCCAGGCGCACCCAGAAACCCUUUGUGAACUUAUACCUUACUGUUGCCUCGGCGCUGGCCGGUCCUUCGGGGCCCCUCACCCUCGGGUGUUGAGACAGCCCGCCGGCGGCCAACCUAACUCUUGUUUUUACACUGAAACUCUGAGAAUAAAACAUAAAUGAAUCAAAACUUUCAACAACGGAUCUCUUGGUUCUGGCAUCGAUGAAGAACGCAGCGAAAUGCGAUAAGUAAUGUGAAUUGCAGAAUUCAGUGAAUCAUCGAAUCUUUGAACGCACAUUGCGCCCUCUGGUAUUCCGGAGGGCAUGCCUGUUCGAGCGUCAUUUCAACCCUCAAGCCUGGCUUGGUGAUGGGGCACUGCUUUUACCCAAAAGCAGGCCCUGAAAUUCAGUGGCGAGCUCGCCAGGACCCCGAGCGCAGUAGUUAAACCCUCGCUUUGGAAGGCCCUGGCGGUGCCCUGCCGUUAAACCCCCAACUUCUGAAAAUU